CAUAUUAAUACUUUUUUCUCAGAAGAUUCAACAAAAGUAGAGUGUUAAAUGAAUACUUAUGUAUUACUAUACAAUAUUAUAUAGGAAUUUGCAGAAAAUGUCCAAAUCUAUAAAAUAAGGCCUCUUCCAGACUGGCUUCUCCCUGUAGAACAACAGCAAAAUUUAUGCAAAAACAAUUUUAGGCACUUCCAUAUGGAGAACUCUAAGAGAAAAUUCAUAAUGAACCAUUUCAUAUUCAAGCAUCGACGACGACGCUUACUCGUUCGAGAAGAACAUUAUAUUAUAAGCUGAAAUGUUAAAUAGAAUUCCAGCUUGUGAACACCAGGCAAAACAAUUAUAUGUAGUUAUCAUACACAUUAACUGGCUCAAUGAAUAGUCAUAAGUCAAUCAACAACUGUACAUCCAAUCAUUUGUGGGGUUGUGUGUGAUCUCAGACUAUGUAGGUCUUCUGGGGACUUUUUGGACCGCGCUUUUUUCUUCUGGGAUUAGAACUGAUAGCACAAGAGAAGGCGUUGAGAAGCUCGGAGUCUUCUUGGGAAAUGAGAAUCUUAGCUGAACUUGGAUUGGCAAGGAGGAGUUUGGCAACGAGGUAUCCAGCUAUUGACCAAGUUUGGAAAAGGCGCGCUUGUUUCCCUAUGAAC
Molecule: long non-coding RNA, 641 nt
Organism: Solanum verrucosum
Lineage: Eukaryota; Viridiplantae; Streptophyta; Magnoliopsida; Solanales; Solanaceae
Exons: 2
Source: RefSeq, a predicted model, not a curated record